GGAGCUGGUGUGGGCCAAAAGAGUCUCAAUUUUGGAGUCGUUUGCUACAGUGAGUGCGAAGCCGAAAGGGGGAGGGAAUGAAUGGGCGCUGGGAGAACGUCCGCGUUUUGGGGACGUUCCUGUUCUACUGAGGGGGUCUGUGUGAGCGACUGCAGGUCCGCCCGCCUUGCAGCAGCAUGGAGGAUGAUGCGCCGGUGAUCUACGGACUGGAGUUCCAGGCACGUGCUUUAACACCUCAAACUGCAGAAACAGAUGCCAUUCGGUUUUUGGUUGGCACACAGUCUCUUAAAUAUGAUAAUCAGAUCCACAUCAUAGAUUUUGACGAUGAAAAUAACAUUAUAAAUAAAAAUGUUCUCCUCCAUCAAGUGGGUGAAAUUUGGCACAUCAGUGCCAGUCCAGCAGAUAAAGGUGUGCUAGCGACCUGCUACAAUAAAACUUCAGACAGUAAAGUCCUGACGUGUGCCGCUGUGUGGAGGAUGCCGAAGGAAUUGGAAUCAGGCAGUCCUGAAUCCCCUGAUGAUUCAUCAAGCACCACGCAGACCCUGGAGCUACUCUGUCACCUUGACAACACAGCCCAUGGCAACAUGGCCUGUGUUGUAUGGGAGCCAAUGGGAGAUGGGAAGAAAAUCAUUUCAUUGGCUGAUAACCAUAUACUGCUGUGGGAUUUACAAGAAAGCUCCAGCAAAGCUGUGCUGGCCAGCUCAGCAUCUUUGGAAGGAAAAGGACAACUGAAGUUCACUUCGGGACGGUGGAGCCCACAUCACAACUGUACCCAGGUUGCCACAGCAAAUGACACCACCCUACGAGGAUGGGAUACUCGGACUAUGAGCCAGAUAUACUGCAUAGAGAAUGCCCACGGACAGCUGGUACGGGACCUCGACUUUAAUCCCAAUAAGCAGUACUACUUAGCUAGCUGUGGAGACGACUGUAGGGUGAAGUUCUGGGACACUAGAAAUGUCACUGAACCUGUGAAGACACUUGAGGAGCAUUCCCACUGGGUGUGGAAUGUCCGCUACAACCACUCUCACGAUCAGCUGAUCCUCACGGGCAGCAGUGACAGCAGAGUCAUCCUCUCAAACAUGGUGUCCAUUUCCUCCGAGCCCUUUGGCCAUCUGGUAGAUGAUGAUGACCUCAGUGAUCAGGAAGAACACCAUCAAGAAGAGAAGAAUAAAGAGCCUCUCCAGGACAGCGUCAUCGCAACCUAUGAAGAGCAUGAAGAUAGUGUGUAUGCGGUGGACUGGUCUUCCGCAGACCCGUGGCUGUUUGCCUCCUUAAGUUAUGAUGGAAGACUUGUUGUUAACAGGGUUCCCAGAGCACUGAAGUAUCACAUAUUGCUUUAAUUCGUUUGGAUGGCAUUCCUGCGGUAUCCUCUUGGCAGAUUCUCGAAAAUUCACGGCUAUUUGGAGGAGUCAGCCAUGUGGAUGAUCUGCAGGGAGAGUGUCCCAGCCAAGGAGACAGUGAAGACAAAGGCCCUAAGAUGGAACAGCAAGAAGGUUAGUGUGGCUGAGGUGUGGUAAACAAGAUGGCAGACAUGCUCAAAGACGGGGCACACCUAUGUGAGGCCUUGAAGGACUUUGACUUUUACUCCAAGUGAGGUGGAAAGCCACUGAAGGACUGUGAACAGAGGCAAGAACUGAUCUUUUGAAUUAUAAGUCGUUUAUUAUUUUUGUUUUGGUUUUGAUAUACAAUGCUGUGAAUUUUCAUACUCAUAGAUUCAUGUAACUACUAUCAGGAUCAGGAUACAGAACAGUUCCAUCACCCCAAGACAUUCCCUUACACUAUCGCUUUGUAGUCAAACCCUCCCCCAAGCCCUAAGCCCUGGCAGUCUUCAUCUGUUCUCCGUCACUAUUGGUUGUCUUUUGGAGAAUGUCACAUAAAUGAAAUCACACAGUAUGUACCUUUUGAGGCUGGCUGCUUCACUUAGCAUAAUGCCUGUAAGAUUCUUCCAAGUUGUAGUAUGUGUCAAUAUUUCAUUGCUUUUUAGUGCUAAGUACUAUUCCCUUGUAUGAAUGGUCCACAGUUUGUCUAUCCAGUCACCAUUGAAGGGCAUUCGUGUUUCCAAUUUUUGCUGGUUAGGAAUAAAACUGCUAUAAAUAUUCAUUGAUAGGUAUUUAUGUAAACAUAAGUUUUCAUUUCUCUUGGGCAAAGUUUGGCAAACUGUGACCCACACAAGCCAAAUCCAUUCCACUUCCUGUUUUUGUAAAUAAAGUUCAUUAGAACACAGCUGUAUUCAUUCAUUUACAUAUUGUCUAUGGCUGUUGUCACACUGCACUGGCAGAAUUGAGUAGUUGCGGCAGAGACUGUUGCAAAGCCUAAAAUACUUACUACCUGGCCCUUUACAGAAGAAGUAUGCCCACCUCUGCUCUAAGGUAAAUACAAGUAGGAUUGCUGUGUUGUAGGGUAAGUGUAUGUUUAACUUUGUAAGAAACUACUAUACUUUUUUCAGAGUAGGGUUACAAUUUUGAAUUCCCAUCAGCCGUAUAUGAGUGACCCAGUUUUUCUACAUCUUUGCCAGCACGUGGUGUUUUCAGUGUUUUUUAUUUUAGCCGUCUAAUAGGUGUGUAGUAGAAUAUAUCAUUGUGGUUUGAGUUGCGUUACCCUAAUGGCGAAUUGGUCGCUGUAGGGUCACUAUGAGUUGGAAUCAACUUGACAACAGUGGGUUUGGUUUGGGUGUUUUGGUGAUGGCUAAUGACAUUGAGCAAUUUUUGUGUGCUUAUUUGCCAUCUAUAUAUCUUCUUUGAGGAAGUGUUUGUAGAAGUCUUUUGUACAUUUUAAACAUUAAACUGUGUGUUUAAUUCUGUUUGUUUUGAGAACUCUUUAUGUAUUCUGGAUACAAGUCCUCAGUCAGGUAUGUGAUUUGCAAAUAUGUU
Molecule: RNA transcript, 2870 nt
Organism: Trichechus manatus latirostris (Florida manatee)
Lineage: Eukaryota; Metazoa; Chordata; Mammalia; Sirenia; Trichechidae
Gene: EIPR1
Gene name: EARP complex and GARP complex interacting protein 1
Exons: 10
Source: RefSeq, a predicted model, not a curated record